UACGGAGGGUGCGAGCGUUGUUCGGAAUUAUUGGGCGUAAAGCGCGUGUAGGCGGUUUGUUAAGUCUGAUGUGAAAGCCCCGGGCUCAACCUGGGAAGUGCAUUGGAAACUGGCAGACUUGAGUACGGGAGAGGGCAGUGGAAUUCCCAGUGUAGGAGUGAAAUCCGUAGAUAUUGGGAGGAACACCGGUGGCGAAGGCGGCUGCCUGGACCGAUACUGACGCUGAGACGCGAAAGCGUGGGUAGCAAACAGG
Molecule: ribosomal RNA, 253 nt
Filed under: uncultured prokaryote
Description: partial 16S ribosomal RNA
Rfam family: Bacterial small subunit ribosomal RNA
Source: RNAcentral